GCCGAGGUAGCUCAGUUGGUAGAGCAGAGGACUGAAAAUCCUCGUGUCGGGAGUUCGAUUCUGCCCCUCGGCACCA
Molecule: transfer RNA, 76 nt
Filed under: Pseudomonadota bacterium
Lineage: Bacteria; Pseudomonadati; Pseudomonadota
Also listed under: 1 other name
Description: tRNA-Phe
Rfam family: tRNA
About the family: Transfer RNA (tRNA) molecules are approximately 80 nucleotides in length. Their secondary structure includes four short double-helical elements and three loops (D, anti-codon, and T loops).
Source: RNAcentral